Molecule: unclassified non-coding RNA, 517 nt
Filed under: Hevea brasiliensis (rubber tree)
Lineage: Eukaryota; Viridiplantae; Streptophyta; Magnoliopsida; Malpighiales; Euphorbiaceae
Source: RNAcentral
UGAUGAAGUGAAGAGUCAUUUGCAGAAAUACAGGCUUCAUACACGAAGAAUUCCAAAUUCGCAGACUCAACCAGCUAACCAGUCUGGUGUGGCUCUAGGAAAUUUAUGGAUGUCCCAAGGCCAAUAUGGGGAAUCCUCAAAGCAGAGCAGUUCACAAUCUGGUUCCCCUCAGGGUCCUCUACACUUGGCUGGGAGUUGCGGAGGUACUUCCACGACUGUGGGUGAUAGCAUGGAUGAAGAAGAUGAUGUAAAAUCCGAGAAUCACAGCUGGAAAAAUCAUGUUCACACCUCUGGAAAGGUUGAUGUAUAGAUCUCCACCAUGAAUUUUGCAGAUAAGAUUAUACAUUGGAGAAAUUAAUUACCAUAAAUCGAUACCUUAUAUUAUACUUAUAUAUAAAUCUUGAGAGAGAUGUGAAAUUUUGCAGGAUUAGAUCUCCUUUUUUUUUUGCUUGUGCAUUUCGAACCGUGUUCUAGUUAUUUGUUGGUUCAGCAUAAGGAACUUGAAUUUAAGUCCCAG